AAGUCCCGCAACGAGCGCAACCCUUAAGCUUAGUUGCCAUCAUUAAGUUGGGCACUCUAAGUUGACUGCCGGUGACAAACCGGAGGAAGGUGGGGAUGACGUCAAAUCAUCAUGCCCCUUAUGAUUUGGGCUACACACGUGCUACAAUGGACAAUACAAAGGGCAGCGAAACCGCGAGGUCAAGCAAAUCCCAUAAAGUUGUUCUCAGUUCGGAUUGUAGUCUGCAACUCGACUACAUGAAGCUGGAAUCGCUAGUAAUCGUAGAUCAGCAUGCUACGGUGAAUACGUUCCCGGGUCUUGUACACACCGCCCGUCACACCACGAGAGUUUGUAACACCCGAAGCCGGUGGAGUAACCUUUUAGGAGCUAGCCGUCGAAGGUGGGACAAAUGAUUGGGGUGAAGUCGUAACAAGGUAGCCGUAUCGGAAGGUGCGGCUGGAUCACCUCCUUUCUA
Molecule: ribosomal RNA, 454 nt
Filed under: Staphylococcus aureus
Lineage: Bacteria; Bacillati; Bacillota; Bacilli; Caryophanales; Staphylococcaceae
Description: bacterial SSU rRNA
Rfam family: Bacterial small subunit ribosomal RNA
Source: RNAcentral